RNAcentral lists this long non-coding RNA (6611 nucleotides) under Phoenix dactylifera (date palm). Its description in RNAcentral is "long non-coding RNA (PDAC_LNC004663)". The record is from RNAcentral. Lineage: Eukaryota; Viridiplantae; Streptophyta; Magnoliopsida; Arecales; Arecaceae.
UCCUCUUGAUCAUAAAUCCAUAAAUUCCAAAUUUUUUUGUUUCAAAAAUUGUAAUUAACUUGCUACUUUUACAUGCUCAAGAUUAUUAUGGAUAAACAAGCAAGUUUAAAGGCAUGUAAUCCAAUAAAUUAUAUGAAAUAGAAUUCCAUAUGAUCUAAUUUAUAAAUAACAUGAUCAAGUUGAAUUUUAUGAUGCACAGGAUUGUGUGAUGUAUAAUAUAGAUUUGGAUCUUAUUUUCAGACUAAUCCUGAUCCAAAAAUGCGAUCUAGAAUGUUCAGGGCUAUUUUGAUCAGUAUAAUAGAUCCAUAUCAUGAAUCAUUAGUAUUUCAGGAACAAUUUAGCCGCUUACAUGCAACUUGAACUCAUCAAAUCUGCCUUGAUUUGCAUGCCCUACAUUAUCUAAUGCAUCACCCACUUCAUGAGGGUUUUAUGUGGUUCAAGUUCUUUGUGGACACUUCUACUUCAGGCUUAAUAUAUGCACACCUCAUGUACCAAUUGGGUGUAGAUCAGCUGGGCCAUGUCAAACAUGAAACUUUCAAGGCUUCCUAUUAAAUAGCGCUUGUUCAACAUCAUGCUUCAGCUGGACAGCUUACUUUUUUUUUUGGUGCAACGGCGGCUCACACACUGCAGGGUGGACAGCUACUUAACAACAAGCAAAAGUGGCAGAAUUUGUCUUUGAAUUGUACGCUAAUAAAAUACUAAAAAAGCGGUGUGUAGUAUUCAUUUAGCUGCAUCUAGAAAAAUAAGGAACAAAAAAGGAGAACAGCUGACACAAGGGAAAAAACUACAAUUGAGAAAACAGUUCAGGAAACCACUCAAAUUUCUCAGUUGUUUGCUCUCACUUCAAACUUUUCUUUUGUCUUCUUCUUGAUAUAUAGGACAGAACCCUUGUUCUGCCUCCCUUUUAUGUUUGUGUGCCAAGAAUGUUGUACAUCAUCCAAUCUCUUCUAUAUAUAUCCUUGCCUCCUCCUUGGCUCGUGUGUAAAUUUCAAUCUCAAGUCUUUAGGAGUGCAACAUAUGGAUCUUGAGGUAGUUUUGUAGAAGCAUCUAAUUAUUAUUGGUUAAUCUCUAUAUCAAAAUGAUAGAUUAUGCAUUCCAGCAUGACAAAAUUAAAAAUCCAUUAUUUGAAAAGAAAAAAAAAUAAAAGAGAAGUGAUUGGCACACUAUGUGUGAUUUUUUUCCUGGUCAUAUUAAAUGAUCCAAAUAUUAGCAACUUGGUGAAAACUAACUUCUCUUGAAUGUUAGCUUAGACUUAUAUGGAUUAGGAUGCAGAACUAGAGAUGGUUUAAGUCUAUUUGUAUGCAGCUUCAAGGUCAACCCUAUUUUUUACAAUCAAGCAGGCUCUUUCCUAGUUGAUAGGGCCUUAUGAGUUGCCAUGCGAAUGUCUAAUGAGCUUACUUAUAAUUUGGAGCCUAAUGAGAGGAACAAAAUUUAUGUGACUGCAAUCUGAGUUCAUUAUAAUUUGACUGAGCAUGAUCAACUUUAUGCAUAAUUGAUGUUUACUUCAUUCAUUCAACAGUCCUUCAAAUCGGCGUGUUUGCUUCUUUUAGAUUUUUGUUCACACUUAAACCCUAAUUUUAUAUUCUGGGUUCAUUGUCACAUUUGUGGUCAGUUUUGGUGUUGAAAUUUCAACUUUCAUAGUUUAAAUAUUUUGAAAACUCAGGUCAAAACUCAGCAAUUUAUAGAUUUAAGCCUUGCUUCCUGAGUCCUUAUACACCUCUACCAUAGAUUGUCCUAUAUUUGUUUGGUAUCCAAACCUUUGGAAAGCCACCAUAGCAUCCAAUCCAAUUCAUGGGGCAUAUCUGAUUAUCAAAAAUGUCCUUAUGAGUUAUGAACAUGUCCUUGAUGAAGAUUCCACUGUGGAUCUUGAACCACAUGAUUUUCUUGAUUGGAUCACAUAUCUAGAAGAUUACUUUGAUUGGUAUAGUAUGUCUGACCAGAUGGGAGUCCAUUUUUAUUUUUCUUUCUAUCUUCUUUCUCCCUAUUCUUACUUCUUUAUUUUUGUGCUUUGCUUUAAUUGCCUCUAUCUUUUCCUUCGCUGCAUUUUCCUCUGCAGUCGACAGCAUCCAAUUGAACCUGAUCAGAUCUAGUGAAUUGCUACUAGAUGUGAACCUAUAAAACCUUGACAAACCUUUUUUCCUACUUUCUUAAUUCAUUUUUAAUUAGAGAUCAGGUUGAAUUGAAUUUUUCAGCAAGCUUUUAUUCUAUUCCUAGCCUAAGCCCUUAUAGAUUCCCUCCCGUAGAUUGUCCUACAUCACUUUGUACUUUGUCUGUUGCUUGGGAAAUCAACUAGGUUGUAGCUUAAUCUUUCGGCUACAAUUGCCUAGGCUACUUGACAAUUAUGUACAUGAUACAGCAUUAGUUGAAAUAAAGACAUUGUCAAAUGGACGGUAUAUGCAACAAUUCAAAAGACAAGCAACUUAUAAUGUCAAUCUUUGGGGUAAUAUAGUCAAGUUGCAUGGAACUAAUAAUGCAUUAUCAUAUGAAGAUAUUCUUUUUGCUGGGUUUCAUAAACCGCAAUAAGCUGGUUAAACCUUUCUUGUAACCAUGUUUUUGAACUUCUCUAACUUAUUGUAGAUAGUAAAUUAUCAAACCUUUGGAUAAAAACUCAAAUAGGUUGUUGAACGAAAUACCAAAAGUAUAACCAUUCAGAUUUUUUCCCAGUUAUUUGGGCUCAUUUUUAUAUAGCCUUAUUCACCAAGUAUUCCGUCUUGAUCUGUGCAAGAAUUGCAAGCGACCUGGACACUAUGCUAGGGAAUGCCCAAAUGUGGCUGUCUGCAAUAAUUGUGGCCUACCAGNNNNNNNNNNNNNNNNNNNNCUACCCAUGAUCCCCACAACAUAGCUAAAUACAGUCAUAACAAGUCAACAACUAACAAGGACAAAAAUACAUAAUAAAUAAACCAAAAUACAUAAGAAAUAAAACUAUGGCAGCCAAAGUGCUAUGCACGCCGGCGACGCCUAUACACAUGCUGGAAACGGUGGUCUGUGUCCCCACCAUAUUCCUAUUUAGAGCCACCUCUGAUGCUAUUCUGAGAUUCUUUGUCUUCUCUUAUAACCUCCAUUCAUAUUACAUUAGUUAGGUCUUUCCUUCCUUUUCCUGCAACCUUCAACACAAAUUGAAGUACCUUUCCUUAUUGGAGACCCCCUGGAUCUUUGUUUUAUAUGCUUAUUACCAUCUCAAUCAAUUUUCAGUUUCUUUAUCGUUAACUUCUGCAACUCCUACAGCUCAUCUUCCACAUACAUUUCUCAAUCUAUUCUUUUUAUUGUUAUUGCAUACCCUUAACGUUCUCAUUUCUACCUCACUUAACUUGUUUUCCUCUUUAUGUCUAACAUUAUAUCCAUAUAACAUUGCGGGCCUUAUUAUUGUUCUGUAAAACUUUCCCUUAACUUUCCAAGUAUGUGUCAAUUAUAUAGUACUGUAGCAGUUCUCCACUUUAUCCAACUAACUCUAAUUUUAUUAUGUCAUUUACUAGAUCAUAAAUAACAAAACCAAUCAUUAUGUGGUAUCUCUUGUCUAUCAAUCUGAGUCGGAAUCUCAUCUUUGUUUCCAUUCUCACUAAAUACAUUUCAUAUACUCAGUCUUUAUUCUACUGAUUUUAAUCUCUUAUCCUCUAAAGCUUUCUUCUAUAAGUCCAAUUUAGUUUUUGAUGUAGUUCUUUUCUUCAUCAAUAACAUACAUCCCGGUGCAUGUUCUUGAAUAUUAGCAAUAUGCUUUAAUACAAAGUUAAUAUUUUGGGCUCUUGUGCAUAAUAUACUUAUAUUGGAGUUCAUAUAGCAGAGUUGUUGAUUUUCAUAUGUUUUCUUGGGUUCCAUAAUUAAAAAUUGACCAAUCAGAUUGUGUACAACCAUUUGCAUAUUUUUCUCUAAGUGCUUGUAACGUGAAAACUUAAACCCAUUGUAUGCUUUAAAAGUGAACUAACCUAAGUUGAAAUUGCAGGCCGACCAAAUUGCUAUUCAAAAGAUUAAGGGUAUGUUAGAAAAGAAAAUAUAUAGAAUCAUAUAUAUAUAUAUAUAAUAUAACAGAAGGUAAAAGAAAGGAAGAUCCUUUUUUUCCCCUGAUAAAUGGUAAACCUGCAAUUCUGAAUCAGCAAAAUAUUAUGAAGUAAUUUUUUCAUAUUACAGAAGUUAAAGAAAUUGACAUAUAGAUUAUCUAAAUCAGGAUUUGCAAUAUCCAUAUAUGCAUGUAUAUCAGAUUUGAGAUGUUUGAAUUAAAACAAAGCAAGCAUAAUUUGUCAAUGAAAUCUAAUUUAUUACAGUGUGAUAUAUUAUUUACUGAAUAGAAUACACCAUAAAAGUAGUUGUGAAAAGCGAAGUUUAAAUCCCUUGAACGAUGAUUGUUAAUAUAAUUAAUACAACAAACCUAGAUAGCAUUGAAAUAAAAUUGCAACUGGAAUAAAUAUUGUAUAUAGUUGUUGAAGUAAAAUAGAAUUGAAACUAUUUUAAAAUAAUUUUGGAAAUCAUUAUUAUAAUAUCCACAUAAGCACUUGCUGUCUGAAGCAGGAGAUAGGUGUUAUACAGAAAUUAUCACAAGGUACUUAUUGCAGAAUACUUUGUAAUGCAGUCAUAAUGGCAUGUGUAGAAUUAGAGAUUACAUGACGUUGGAAGUAUGAUUAAGGAAUUGCAGGGAAAGUGAAAGAAUAGAGAGGACAAGUAAACUAAGCAACUCAAACAGUGACCUUACGUAGCAUGUUUUGUUAAAGAAAAGAUUCUCAACAAAGAAAUGAUAAGUAAAAGAUAGUAAUUAGGUGCAAAUGAUUAAGUGAUAACUGAUAUUUGUAUGCUACAUUAUGAUCUGGUAUUGUGACAGACAUAUUAUAGGACCAUGAUAGUACAUCAAAGUUUCUAUAGGAAAAAAUGUAGUCCUAAUUUUGCAUGAAAAAAUUGUUAUAUUCUUUAGGUCCAGUUUGGUUUUUACAUCACAUAAGUAGAUGUCUUCUAGUUGGUCAGCUUGAAAGGAUGCCAUACCAUGCUAGUACCAGAUUGAGACAUAGCAUGACUUGGAGGCAUAUUUUUCUGAAUGGGUUACUUUACACAUUUGAUCAUGAUCAAGUGCUUUUGGAUUAUCUCAUGUCUUUUGAUUUAAUUUACUUAAUUUAAAUGCACCCUCAUACAUCAUCGUGCUUCAUGCAUUGCUUACAUGACUCCAGAUCCACCUUAAUGAAAGCAACUAGACCUGAAAUAUUGAUGUCAAAGUCAAUUGUCCAGUGGAUUUCUGAAAGUAAUGUUUCAUUUCUUUUUUUGGGGGACAAAGUGACAUUUUUCUUUUCUUUUUUCUUUGUUAUCUCAGCAAGUCCUUUCUAUGCAUUAUAAUUUAUUCGAUAUCUCUGUACAUGUGCAUAAAUAUGAGGCUGGGUGCAUGGGUGUCCAUGUACUUGUUUGUGGCUUGGUGGGGGUAAUAUAUAUGCACUUCUAUAGUGUUGUUUGAUUUCCAUUUGCUGCUUACGAAGGACCUUAAUUUUUGUUCUAGUUUUACAAUUUGAGUUGUAAAGAGGGCUCUGCCAUUCAAGAUAAGAAUUGUGUGCGCGUGCAUGCUGCUUGAUGGAGAUAAUGGAUAUGCACUUCUAGAAUGCUGUCUGUUCUCCACUUGCUGGUUGCAAAAAAUAAGGAUGUUAUGUUUGCAUGCGCCAUAUAACUUAGGAAUAAAGAGGACCCUAAGAUUAAAGAUAAGAUUGAAGAGCAGCAAAAUUAUAAGUGACUUGGACUUCGAAUUUAGGAUAGACAUGAAUCAGUUUCAGGAAGGCUAGAAAUUGCAUGUGGAUGAAGUUAUGGAGAUGGGGAACAGAUCUGUUCGUGCUUCAUCAAAUCAAAUGGUGUUGGCACAUAAAGCAGGGAAUACAAGUAAACCUGUCUUGGAGGUUGACGAAGGUAUUUGGAAAAGCUUGUUGUAUGAAGUUUUCAAGAAUGAGCAUGGGUUUUCUCUAACCAUGUUCUUGCUGAUUCUGUGCUUGUCCAGAUAAAAUUCCUUUAUCCAAGAAUGAGCUUUGUUAAUAUGCUAAAAUUUGCACCUAUAUUGCUUGCUUGGUUAAUAUGGAAAAUUACUUUAUUGAUGUUGCAUUUUCAGUUUGCUAGCAUGAAUUUAAUUGCCAAUGUAGCAAAAGCUGAGUAGCUGGAAACUAGUACCUAAGGUAACGUACCUGCUUUGGAAAUUCUCUGGUAACUCAAACCUGCGCCUGCUUCAUAAGUGCCUCCUUCAAGUGUCUGCAGACCCACACCUGCACCUGCUCUGCUCCGCUCCCAAUUCUGGCAAUAAGAACAGAAGACAUGAUUACAUGUUAACUUAAUUACUAUUUAAUAGAAAUAUAUUAUUGAUUACUUGAAGAUGGUCCUGGAUGCAUGUAGUGAUGUUUUUUUAAAUUAUUUUUGUCAACAGAGAGUGCAAUAGUUUGGAUAUUGAAAAUUCUCGUUUUGCUGUUUCUUUAUAGGCGUCUUGAUCUGUGCAAGAAUUGCAAGCGACCUGGACACUAUGCUAGGGAAUGCCCAAAUGUGGCUGUCUGCAAUAAUUGUGGCCUACCAGGGUAAGAAUCAGAAUAUAAUAUGUCUCCACUAUAUACUUACAUGGUCUUAGUAGGCUUGUGAGUUGGAUUUUGCCGGUACUUGUUUUUUGAUUGGUG